AUGGCGAUCUUGUUCUCGCGCGAGCAAGAGCUGCUCAUCUCCGUUGUAUUUGUCUUUCUUGCUUUCCUCUACUUGUACUUCAGGUCUAGCAGUAGAUCACAUGGCCAGUCAGUGCUCCCCGCAGACUGGCCAGUAAUGCACAUGUUGCCUGGAGUCAUUGCCAACCUCCAUAAUGCACAUGACUAUUUCGCUGCUAUCCUUACUGAAGCAGGCCACAACUUCAGGGUACAUAUUCCCCAAAGGCACAUAUUUCUCACUUGUGACCCUGGGAACGUCCGGCACAUCUUCACAACCAACCACGCAAACUUCCCCAAGGGCCGCGAGUUUGCAGCCAUCUUUGACAUAAUGGAUGGAGGCAUCUUCACAGUCGACGGUGAGCAAUGGCGACGGCAGCGCACAAAAUUCCAGAGCGUGCUCAGCAGCCCAGGGUUGGUUUCCGGUAUGGCGGCAUGCUGCCGCGACAAGGUAGAGAAUGGCCUCCUCCCCUUCUUUACCCACAUGGCAAGCACUGACACUCCAUUUGACAUGCAAGAAGUGAUUUCGAGGUUUGUGUUUGACUUGGCUGCCACGCCUCUCUUCGGCGUGGACCCUAGCCUCCUGUCCUCGGACAUGCCGUCCAUGGACGUUGCAGUUGCCAUGGACACGGUCAUGGAGGUAGGCUUUUUCCGGCAUGUCAUGCCAGCCACUUGUUGGAAAGCUAUGAGGAGGCUAAACAUCGGCCCAGAGAGAAAGCUUGAUGCGGCGCACAAGGUGAUACGAGGGUUCUUCAUGGAGAUGAUAGAGAAGAAAAAGAUCAAUGGAGGACGUGUUUGUAAUGACGGGGAGCAAGAGCAUGUGGAUGUUCUGUCCUCCUACAUCAAUGACCCAGACUACGCAGACGAUGACUUGCUCCGUGCGAAGCUCCUUAGCCUCAUGCUCGGUGGGAGGGACACAAUUGGCACCACCUUGCCAUGGAUCUUCUAUAUCCUUGCCAAGAACCCUAACAUCCUUUCAAUCAUACGCAAUGAACUCUCACCCAUUGCAUCACACAAAGUAGCCAUGGGUAAGAGUUCCAUGGUGAUCUUUGAGCCAGAGGAGACCAAACAUUUGGUCUAUCUAAAAGCUGCCCUGUACGAGACUCUCAGGUUGUACCCAUCAGCACCAAUUGAGCGCAAGACAGUGGCUACCGAUGAUAUCAUGCCGAGUGGCCAUGAGGUGCACACCGGCGAUACCAUCCUUAUUUCUCUCUACUCCAUGGCGAGAAUGGAGGGUGUGUGGGGUAAAGACUGUCGCGACUAUAACCCACAUAGGUGGCUCUCAGAAGAUGGUAACAAGUUGAUGUAUGUACCGUCUCACAAGUUCUUGUCCUUCAACUCAGGCCCAAGGAUGUGCCCUGGAAAGGACAUCGCUGUUGUGCAGAUGAAAACCGUUGUCGCGGCAGUGGUUUGGAACUUUGACAUGGAGGUGGUGGAAGGGCAGAGCAUCCAGCCCAAGCUGUCUUGUACACUACAGAUGAAAAAUGGGCUCACGAUGAUCCUGAAGAAGCGAGAAACAUAA
RNAcentral lists this ribosomal RNA (1536 nucleotides) under Triticum aestivum (bread wheat). Its description in RNAcentral is "partial small subunit ribosomal RNA". The record is from RNAcentral. Lineage: Eukaryota; Viridiplantae; Streptophyta; Magnoliopsida; Poales; Poaceae.